CUACGGGGGGCUGCAGUGGGGAAUAUUGCACAAUGGGCGCAAGCCUGAUGCAGCCAUGCCGCGUGUGUGAAGAAGGCCUUCGGGUUGUAGAGCACUUUCAGCGGGGAGGAAGGCGUUAAGGUUAAUAACCUUGGCGAUUGACGUUACCCGCAGAAGAAGCACCGGCUAACUCCGUGCCAGCAGCCGCGGUAAUACGGAGGGUGCAAGCGUUAAUCGGAAUUACUGGGCGUAAAGCGCACGCAGGCGGUCCGUCAAGUCGGAUGUGAAAUCCCCGGGCUCAACCUGGGAACUGCAUUCGAAACUGGCAGGCUAGAGUCUUGUAGAGGGGGGUAGAAUUCCAGGUGUAGCGGUGAAAUGCGUAGAGAUCUGGAGGAAUACCGGUGGCGAAGGCGGCCCCCUGGACAAAGACUGACGCUCAGGUGCGAAAGCGUGGGGAGCAAACAGGAUUAGAUACCCGAGUAGUC
RNAcentral lists this ribosomal RNA (464 nucleotides) under uncultured Klebsiella sp. Its description in RNAcentral is "bacterial SSU rRNA". It matches the Rfam family "Bacterial small subunit ribosomal RNA", at positions 339 to 795 of the family's 1533-position model. The record is from RNAcentral. Lineage: Bacteria; Pseudomonadati; Pseudomonadota; Gammaproteobacteria; Enterobacterales; Enterobacteriaceae.